GGUCAGUGCAGCCAUCUUGGAUUUGAGCUGUGUGUGAUGAAGCAGGUGUAAUUUCAUCUCUGUCCAUCCUCACGUUUUGUGCCUUAGACAUCACUGUUUAACUUUCAGCUGUCACAAAGGAAAAUGAAUGUCUUACAAACCAUGAAGUCUGGUGGACUGCAAAGGGACACCAAAAUUGGAAGUGUUGGCCCCUAUCCUCUUUAGUUGAGACCAACUUGCAAGGUGUCAGAGAAAGAAAUGACCUCCAUUUGAAAGAGUUCUCCUGCUCCUAGAGUCAGUUUUUCUAUGUGAUUUAAAUUUAUUUCCCCAAACACAUCAGGACAUACCAGCAAGAGGAAUUGGUCACACUGCUGAAAUAAGGAACGAUUGAAUGUGGGAAUAUGGCGUCCAGAAGCAGCUCUUGUGUUCAGCAAACAUCAGCUGGUGCCCUCCAUACAUCUCACAAAGGCAGAAAAAAAGAAUUUUCUGCUGCUUAGAGUGUGGAAAGAGGUUUUUUGACGGGUGCAAUCUGCAAAGACACUGGCUUAUUCACACAGGAGAGAAUCCAUACCACUGCUCCGAAUCUGGAAAGAUUUUUACUCUGAAGAGUCAUCUCCAAAGGCACCAGAGCAUUCACAUAGAAGAGAAACCCUUUUGCUGUUCAGACUGUGGGAAGUGUUUUACUUUACACAGUCAUCUCCAAAGGCACCAACACAUUCACACAGAUGUUACAUGAUUGUUGUUCACAAUUUCACCUCUAAUGUUCCAGAACCCUGCUGGAAAAGAUUUGGUUCUGUAACAUUUCAGAUGCUACUUAUGGGAUCAUGGAGUCUCAAGAGACCUGUGUUUCUCUCUGAAUAUUUUUCUCUCUGAAUAUUCUGUUCUGUUUUGGUGGUGAAGAGAUAACAGGCUUUGUAAAAGUAGGACAGUAGCUAUUAUGAGAAUGACAUUUCCAUUGUUGUGUCUCCAGAAAGGAAACAGUAAUACAGAAGGAGCUGAACUGAAUUAUCUUAAUGGUGUCCUAAUAUCUUUUUUAAGCUUCUGUUGCUACUGUUAGUGGUAUUUGUAGGGUAGCAAAAAAGUUCACUUGCAUUAUCUAGCAUAAAGGUGUUACAUUUACUCAAAUUGUGAGAGCUUUUUUUUCCCCACUUCUGCAUUUCAAAAAAUAUUGGACCCUGCAGACAUGCACUCAACAAUUCCCUGUCAUUAUCUGUGUUGAUGUUGUUGUGCAUGUGUAAAAUGAAUGUUAAAAGUCUUAACUUGAAAAGAUGUUAACUUAGGAAUAAAGAUUGGAAGUUUCUAGAAUACGGCUCCUGGCUACCGUCAAUCUCAAACAUCGCUUUUAUUGUUAAAUUAAUUGCUGGAAAAAGGUUGUUGCCGCCCAAAUACAGUUCCAUCAAAUAAUCCAUUUGAACACUUCCAAUCUGGUGUCUGUUCACUCCACAGCACUGGGACUGCUCUCCUGUUUUUCUGACUGCCUUCCUGACUUUGUAUCCUUAGUAGUACUUUAGUAGACCUCAGCUUUGCUUUCAUUGAAAUCAGUGCCCACUUCUCUGCUAUUGACAUGGCUCAUACUGCCCUUUCCUGGUUUACUUACUACUUCACAGACAGACAACACAAAACAUUAAACAUUCAGACCUCUUUGCUCUUACCUCAUUUUAUGUCACAGCCAUACUCCAAAAUGAAAUUAAUUUUUUUUCAUCAGCAAAAACCUCCAUAGUAAAAAGCAUAAACAAGGUUUCAAAGUUUUAUAAGUUUAUUAAACAUUACUAAAAUGUCAUAUUUAUGAGGAUUAAGACACCUUAAAUAUUCUUGGGUAUGAGGCCACAAGCUUGGUAUGUUUGGGUUUGUGAAGCUUCUCCCAUUCCUCUUUACAGAACUUCUUAUGCUCUGUCAGGAGCAUUGCUGUACCACUGUUUUUAUUUUGGCAAUAUUUUUUGCAGAUUGAUGAGAAAAUUAAUCCAUUUUAGAGUAAGGCAGUAAUGUGACAAAAUCAAAAAAGCCAAGGAGUGUGAAUACUUUCUGAAUGUACCAUUACACUACUUGGCGAUCCCCCCCCCAUUGAUUUUGCUUAUUAAGAUUAAGAGACCCUCAUUAGUCCCACAACAGGGAAAUUUCACCUCCACAUUUAACCCAUCCAUGCAGUGAAAAACACACUAGUGAACACACACACACACACACUAGUGGGCAGUGAGCACGCUUGCCCGGAGCAGUGGGCAGCCCUAUCCGCAGUGCAUCCACACUACAACAUAUUUAAAACUCAGAUGCUUGAGUAAUCACACACAUUAAACACUGCCCACCAAGCAGCCAUUCUCUACACACUGCUCUGGUUACCCAUCCCCAAGCGUUUCAAUACAAGCUAAUUUUCAUAAUCUUCAGAACCCAUCCAUGGACUUGUGUACUUCUCGAUACUGUAUCAUUAAUGUCGCCUUCUGUUUGCUUCUGUACUUUUAUCUUGCUGUUUUUGUAAUUUUCCAUGUAAAUUUUUGUUCUUG
Colossoma macropomum (tambaqui) is the source of this 2474-nucleotide long non-coding RNA. RefSeq lists it as uncharacterized. The transcript is spliced from 4 exons. The record is from RefSeq and is a predicted model, not a curated record. NCBI's taxonomy places the organism in Eukaryota, Metazoa, Chordata, Actinopteri, Characiformes, Serrasalmidae.